GCCUAGUUAGCUUAGUUGGUAGUGCGUCUGCCUUGUAAGCGCUAGGCCGCGGGUUCGAUUCCCGCCUGGGGUC
Molecule: transfer RNA, 73 nt
Filed under: Diaphorina citri (Asian citrus psyllid)
Lineage: Eukaryota; Metazoa; Arthropoda; Insecta; Hemiptera; Psyllidae
Rfam family: tRNA
About the family: Transfer RNA (tRNA) molecules are approximately 80 nucleotides in length. Their secondary structure includes four short double-helical elements and three loops (D, anti-codon, and T loops). Further hydrogen bonds mediate the characteristic L-shaped molecular structure. tRNAs have two regions of fundamental functional importance: the anti-codon, which is responsible for specific mRNA codon recognition, and the 3' end, to which the tRNAs corresponding amino acid is attached (by aminoacyl-tRNA synthetases). tRNAs cope with the degeneracy of the genetic code in two manners: having more than one tRNA (with a specific anti-codon) for a particular amino acid; and 'wobble' base-pairing, i.e. permitting non-standard base-pairing at the 3rd anti-codon position.
Source: Rfam by way of RNAcentral